GACGAACGCUGGCGGCGUGCUUAACACAUGCAAGUCGAACGGCAAGGCCCUGCUUUUGUGGGGUGCUCGAGUGGCGAACGGGUGCGUAACACGUGAGUAACCUGCCCUUGAUUUUGGGGUAACUUCAGGAAACUGGGGCUACUACCGUAUAGGAGCUCCUGCUGCAUGGUGGGGGUUGGAACGUUUCGGCGGUUGGGGAUGGACUCGCGGCUUAUCAGCUUGUUGGUGGGGUAGUGGCUUACCAAGGCUUUGACGGGUAGCCGGCCUGUGAGGGUGACCGGCCACAAUGGGACUGAGAGAGGGCCCAGACGCCUACGUGAGGCAGCAGGGGGGAAUAUUGCACAAUGGGCGGAAGCCGGAUGCAGAAACGCCGCGUGCGGGAUGACGGCCUUCGGGUUGUAAACCGCAUUCGCCUGUGACGAAGCGUGAGUGACGGUAAUGGGUAAAGAAGCACCGGCUAACUACGUG
This 468-nucleotide ribosomal RNA is filed under the name uncultured bacterium. RNAcentral describes it as "partial 16S ribosomal RNA". It matches the Rfam family "Bacterial small subunit ribosomal RNA", at positions 28 to 507 of the family's 1533-position model. The record is from RNAcentral.